This 910-nucleotide ribosomal RNA is filed under the name Sanguinoderma rugosum. RNAcentral's name for it is "partial large subunit ribosomal RNA". It matches the Rfam family "Eukaryotic large subunit ribosomal RNA", at positions 51 to 952 of the family's 3401-position model. Lineage: Eukaryota; Fungi; Basidiomycota; Agaricomycetes; Polyporales; Polyporaceae. The record is from RNAcentral.
UUCGGGAGUAGACUAACAGGAUUCCCCUAGUAACUGCGAGUGAAGCGGGAAAAGCUCAAAUUUAAAAUCUGGCGGUCUUUGGUCGUCCGAGUUGUAGUCUGGAGAAGUGCUUUCCGCGCUGGACCGUGUAUAAGUCUCUUGGAACAGAGCGUCAUAGAGGGUGAGAAUCCCGUCUUUGACACGGACUACCAGUGCUUUGUGAUGCGCUCUCAAAGAGUCGAGUUGUUUGGGAAUGCAGCUCAAAAUGGGUGGUGAAUUCCAUCUAAAGCUAAAUAUUGGCGAGAGACCGAUAGCGAACAAGUACCGUGAGGGAAAGAUGAAAAGCACUUUGGAAAGAGAGUUAAACAGUACGUGAAAUUGCUGAAAGGGAAACGCUUGAAGUCAGUCGCGUUGUCUGGGACUCAGCCUUGCUUUUGCUUGGUGCACUUUCCGGAUGACGGGCCAGCAUCGAUUUUGACCGUCGGAAAAGGGCUAGGGUAAUGUGGCACCUCCGGGUGUGUUAUAGACUUUAGUCGCAUACGGCGGUCGGGAUCGAGGAACGCAGCGCGCCGUAAGGCAGGGGUUCGCCCACUUUCGCGCUUAGGAUGCUGGCGUAAUGGCUUUAAACGACCCGUCUUGAAACACGGACCAAGGAGUCUAACAUACCUGCGAGUGUUUGGGUGGAAAACCCGAGCGCGUAAUGAAAGUGAAAGUUGAGACCUCUGUCGUGGAGGGCAUCGACGCCCGGACCUGACGUUCUCUGACGGAUCCGCGGUAGAGCAUGUAUGUUGGGACCCGAAAGAUGGUGAACUAUGCCUGAAUAGGGUGAAGCCAGAGGAAACUCUGGUGGAGGCUCGUAGCGAUUCUGACGUGCAAAUCGAUCGUCAAAUUUGGGUAUAGGGGCGAAAGACUAAUCGAACCAUCAGCGGCG